UGGGAUUUUUAGAGUUGGUAAGCACCCUUACGUGUCCCUUUCGUAUUGGAUUUCUCAUUUAUGUCUCUCUCUCGCCUUCGUGCGCGUUUUGAUCCGAAAUCAGUUUUUCUCUUCCCCCUCCUGUCCCGAUCACUCCAUCUUCUCUCCAGAUUCUGAUCUCGAUCUCCUUCUUGAUAAGUAUUCAUUCUCUUUUGGAUUUCCAGUUUUUGUAAUCCAUAGAUCUGUCGAUCUAGUUAGGGUUUGAUUGAUGUUCGUUUGAUUCGAGAGCGUUCGAUUUUGUCGUAUGAUGCCUCCGAGGUUGUUCCACGAGGGUCGACUCAGUCUUGUCCUAGCUCACCAGAGUUUGAUUCUAGUGUGGAUGAUUUAGCUUCUCCGAAGAAGUAUAUUGUGUGGAGCACACAUAUGAACACACACGUCUUGCCUGACUUUCUUGUCUGCAUCAAAACUCCAUUUAACAUCAACCGAAGUCCAAGGAGAUUGAGAUCGCCAUGGAUGCCAUUUCUGUAGUUAAACUUUGUUUUGUUUGUGAUUUAUCAGUCAACCAGGAGCAGAUGAUGUAUGUGAGUCUAAAGUUGGGGCUGAUCUUUUGGACAUCUUUCGUAGAAAGGAAGAAACAUUAGCUCUAGAUGCACGAUUUGGAGAUAGCAAACUAAACCUUGUCUCGCCCUCACUGUCACCAUUAAUCCCAUCUCCAUCUCGUGUAAAAGGAGGAGGUUGUGGUCGAGUAAAGUUUGGGAUUAAAUCUGCAGCUGUUAGAGUAGAAGGAUUCGAUUGCUUAGACAGGGACCGCCAAAACUCAAGCAUACCUGCCAUGGCUUAGGAACGCCAAAACUCAAGCAUACCCACAGGUUUUGUUAUUUAUCCCUUCAAGUAGUUGUUUUCAUUUUUUUGUGGAUUGUGAAUGAUCUUUAUAACUUUCUUUGAUCCUGCCGUUAAACGAACACUCAACGUUUUGAACUUGUCUACCAAUUUUUAUUUAUGCUUUUCUUCCAUAUUUGUUUAAAAUUUAUAAUUAUAAAUUUGUAUUUCUAUUUUUAAUAUG
Molecule: long non-coding RNA, 1042 nt
Organism: Brassica oleracea var. oleracea
Lineage: Eukaryota; Viridiplantae; Streptophyta; Magnoliopsida; Brassicales; Brassicaceae
Exons: 3
Source: RefSeq, a predicted model, not a curated record